RNAcentral lists this ribosomal RNA (492 nucleotides) under uncultured bacterium. RNAcentral describes it as "partial 16S ribosomal RNA". It matches the Rfam family "Bacterial small subunit ribosomal RNA", at positions 29 to 507 of the family's 1533-position model. The record is from RNAcentral.
AGUGAACGCUGGCGGUAGGCCUAACACAUGCAAGUCGAACGGCAGCACAGUAAGAGCUUGCUCUUACGGGUGGCGAGUGGCGGACGGGUGAGGAAUACAUCGUAAUCUACUUUUUCGUGGGGGAUAACGUAGGGAAACUUACGCUAAUACCGCAUACGACCUACGGGUGAAAGCAGGGGAUCUUCGGACCUUGCGCGAUUGAAUGAGCCGAUGUCGGAUUAGCUAGUUGGCGGGGUAAAGGCCCACCAAGGCGACGAUCCGUAGCUGGUCUGAGAGGAUGAUCAGCCACACUGGAACUGAGACAGGGUCCAGACUCCUACGGGAGGCAGCAGUGGGGAAUAUUGGACAAUGGGCGCAAGCCUGAUCCAGCCAUACCGCGUGGGUGAAGAAGGCCUUCGGGUUGUAAAGCCCUUUUGUUGGGAAAGAAAAGCAGCAGGUUAAUACCCCGCUGUUCUGACGGUACCCAAAGAAUAAGCACCGGCUAACUUCGUG